This 1746-nucleotide long non-coding RNA is filed under the name Sorghum bicolor (sorghum). RNAcentral describes it as "long non-coding RNA (SBIC_LNC002070)". Lineage: Eukaryota; Viridiplantae; Streptophyta; Magnoliopsida; Poales; Poaceae. The record is from RNAcentral.
UAGGCUCCGCCUCCCUCCCUCCCUCCGGCCGAACCGACGCGACGCACAGCAAGCGCCCGCUGCAGCAGCGAGCGACCGUCGGAUCCGGCCGGGCGGAACACGAGCCGGGUCGGAAGCGCGCGCCGUCGAAGCGGGGCGGCGAAGUGAGGUAGGGUAUCGGGUGCGGUGCGGUGCGGUGGGGGAGAGAGGAGAGAGAGAGAAGUAGAGAAGGAAGGUGGUGGGGACGGGACGGGUGGAAGUGGUCCACCGUGGACUUUGAGCGGACCGUGUCACGGCCACGUGGGGAGGUGACUGCGUUCCACGGUUCCACCAUCCAAGGCCUCGUGUAGUUCCGAAAUUUUUUCGAUUUCACUACCGUAGUAUUUUCGUUUUUAUUUGACAAAUAUUAUCUAAUUAUAAACUAACUGAGAUCAAAAGAUUCGUCUCGUGAUUUACAGACAAACUGUUUAAUUAGUUUUUAUUUUCAUUUAUAUUUAAUACUUCAUGCAUGUGCCGCAAAAUUCGAUGUGACGGGAAAUCUUGAAAACUUUUUGGAUUUCGAGGUGAACUAAAACAAGGCCCAAACUUGUGGAUUCAACUGCCUGCACACGAGCGGAUGCGUGCUUUUACUGGACUAUCCCUGCACACGAGCUUAACAGUUAAACUUGAAUCACUAGUAUAUUGGUCUUGUUAACGCUAUAAAUUAAUUAGGUAAUACAAAUCAAACAACCAAAAGUCCAUUAGUAGGUAAUCUGAAAUUCUAAUGCCCGUAUUAAUGUUAUAGUUUAAUUAGGAAAUACAAAUCAUACAACCAAAAGUCGAUUCACAAGUAACCAGAAAUUCAUAUGACACUUUUCACACAGACAAAUAUAAUUGUCACAUAUAUAGUUCCAAUGCCUAGUACAGUACAGCCCAAUUGAAUGUCCUCUGCAGCGCAGAGCUGUCCAUAGUCCGUAGUGGAUAUAUACAUAUAUAAAAUUCGUCUUUCUCAAGGGAACACAACAUUUACAAACAAGAACCAUAUUGCAAAAAUUCUGAUUGGUUAUCUAAACAAACUUAGUGCAGUCAAUAUAGCUUUCAGUCAGCCCUGCUCUCUAAAAAAUAGUAUACAAGGAGGGAGCUCAAUUACUGGUCCAAUCAACUCUUCAGCAAUGCUAUCCUGAAGUUUGUGAUCCAAUAAGAUUUAGAUAUCCAAGGCAUCUUACCUAUAAAGUGGUAAAAGGACGAUCUUAGAAUAAUUAUGGUGGUUUUCAGUAUUUUGCGAACUCUUCAGACAGCUGGUUUUCAAUAUUUUGUUGAUCUUGAAAAUUUGAUUAACAGUUUUUUUUUGGGGGGUACACAAGCAGAACUUACCUUCAAAAUACUGUCUAGAUUCCUUAUCUCAACCCAGAGGAUGAUGCUCAUCUAUACGAAGUGCUGCCAAUUUGUUUUGUAUUGUUAGCUUUGGUAAACGAAGGGCAUAAUAUUUCACCACCAAGUGAUGUUAAAUCGUGUGUAAAGCCACCGCACUGAACAAGGAGGAAGAUUUAACACGACAGUCACAAUGCAAAUUGACCAGAAUAGAUUGAUUUUUUAUAUAAGUAGGAGUACUAAUAAAAAUGUUGUUUUUUCUCUCUUUUUUCAUUUAACACCGGGUUUUGUCUUAAAAUUUACCUAGGUGGGUGGCACUGAGGGCGCAGCGCAGUUCCAGCGCAAUUGUUCGUCAUCAUCACCCACCUUGUCUUGAAAUUUAGUUUGCUUGAUGAAACUAUUGAAGUACCAGGAAAU